Molecule: small RNA, 1143 nt
Filed under: Parasaccocoelium sp. DA-2012a
Lineage: Eukaryota; Metazoa; Platyhelminthes; Trematoda; Plagiorchiida; Haploporidae
Description: eukaryotic LSU rRNA
Rfam family: Eukaryotic large subunit ribosomal RNA
Source: RNAcentral
CAAUGUGGUGUUUAGGUCGUUCCGCGGAGGCACUGCUCCAUCCUAAGUCCAGCAUUGAAUAUGGUAUGGACAUGGCCCAUUGAGGGUGAAAGGCCCGUGUGGGUGGAGGUUCAUGUUACCGGUGUCUCCCUGGGUAGACCUUGGAGUCGGGUUGUUUGUGAAUGCAGCCCAAAGUGGGUGGUAAACUCCAUCCAAGGCUAAAUACAAGCACGAGUCCGAUAGCGAACAAGUACCGUGAGGGAAAGUUGAAAAGUACUUUGAAGAGAGAGUAAACAGUACGUGAAACCGCUCAGAGGUAAACGGGUGGAGUUGAACUGCAAUCCUUGUGGAUUCAGCUGGUGAGUGUGGUUUGAGCUUGGUUAAAUUGGUUGAUCUCAGGGGUCUGCGUAUUGGCAGGUCUUCACUUUCGGGUGAGGAUGCGCGAUGCACCUACCAUGUGCUGUGCGCCUCGGGGUUAUCGGACCUACUCGCCAGUGCACUUCUGCAGGGUGUUCACCACGACCGGUGUCGCCGUCUGACUGUUGUGGUUAAACCGGUCUUGCAUUUUCCUUGUGAUUUUGCUUGGUCGGGAUGGCAGGUAGCUCUUCGGUGACUGUGGCUUGCUGCAGUUGCCUUUGGGUGUAAUCAGCUGACUGCAAUGGUUCUGUGCGGUACGUCGGAGACAGCGGCUAGUUGUGUGUGCUUUCGUGCCAUUGCGUGGGCAUGCUCGGGUCUGAUUGUCWUGUUGCUCGCUUAAUGUGGGCCUGGCAGUGACUCGGGUUUGUUCUGUGGUGGUUGCGUUUGUGUCACUUUACAGGGCCAAUAGUCUGUGGUGUAGUGGUAGACGAUCCACCUGACCCGUCUUGAAACACGGACCAAGGAGAGUAACAUGUGCGCGAGUCAUUGGGCGUAACGAAACCCACAGGCGAAGUGAAAGUAAAGGCUUGGCUUGUCCAGGCUGAGGUGAGAUCCUGCUGUUUCCCAUGCGCGGUACUACCAAGCAUCGAGCAGUAGGCGCAUCACCGGCCCGUCCCAUGACGUAGUCAUUAAGUCUUCGGACCAGUGCAUCGUCGGGGCGGAGCAUGAGCGUACAUGUUGAGACCCGAAAGAUGGUGAACUAUGCUUGUGCAGGUUGAAGCCAGAGGAAACUCUGGUGGAGGACCG